RNAcentral lists this ribosomal RNA (253 nucleotides) under uncultured bacterium. RNAcentral's name for it is "partial 16S ribosomal RNA". It matches the Rfam family "Bacterial small subunit ribosomal RNA", at positions 524 to 776 of the family's 1533-position model. The record is from RNAcentral.
UACGGAGGGGGCUAGCGUUGUUCGGAAUUACUGGGCGUAAAGCGUGCGUAGACGGUUACAUAAGUCGGGUGUGAAAGCCCCGGGCUCAACCUGGGAAUUGCAUUCGAGACUGCGUAGCUAGGGUGCGGAAGAGGGAAGCGGAAUUUCCGGUGUAGCGGUGAAAUGCGUAGAUAUCGGAAGGAACACCAGUGGCGAAAGCGGCUUCCUGGUCCAGCACCGACGUUCAGGCACGAAAGCGUGGGGAGCGAACAGG